RNAcentral lists this ribosomal RNA (947 nucleotides) under Ralstonia pickettii. RNAcentral's name for it is "bacterial SSU rRNA". It matches the Rfam family "Bacterial small subunit ribosomal RNA", at positions 38 to 984 of the family's 1533-position model. The record is from RNAcentral. Lineage: Bacteria; Pseudomonadati; Pseudomonadota; Betaproteobacteria; Burkholderiales; Burkholderiaceae.
UGGGGGGUGCCCUUUACCAUGCAAGUCGACGGCAGCAUGAUCUAGCUUGCUAGAUUGAUGGCGAGUGGCGAACGGGUGAGUAAUACAUCGGAACGUGCCCUGUAGUGGGGGAUAACUAGUCGAAAGAUUAGCUAAUACCGCAUACGACCUGAGGGUGAAAGUGGGGGACCGCAAGGCCUCAUGCUAUAGGAGCGGCCGAUGUCUGAUUAGCUAGUUGGUGGGGUAAAGGCCCACCAAGGCGACGAUCAGUAGCUGGUCUGAGAGGACGAUCAGCCACACUGGGACUGAGACACGGCCCAGACUCCUACGGGAGGCAGCAGUGGGGAAUUUUGGACAAUGGGCGAAAGCCUGAUCCAGCAAUGCCGCGUGUGUGAAGAAGGCCUUCGGGUUGUAAAGCACUUUUGUCCGGAAAGAAAUGGCUCUGGUUAAUACCUGGGGUCGAUGACGGUACCGGAAGAAUAAGGACCGGCUAACUACGUGCCAGCAGCCGCGGUAAUACGUAGGGUCCAAGCGUUAAUCGGAAUUACUGGGCGUAAAGCGUGCGCAGGCGGUUGUGCAAGACCGAUGUGAAAUCCCCGAGCUUAACUUGGGAAUUGCAUUGGUGACUGCACGGCUAGAGUGUGUCAGAGGGGGGUAGAAUUCCACGUGUAGCAGUGAAAUGCGUAGAGAUGUGGAGGAAUACCGAUGGCGAAGGCAGCCCCCUGGGAUAACACUGACGCUCAUGCACGAAAGCGUGGGGAGCAAACAGGAUUAGAUACCCUGGUAGUCCACGCCCUAAACGAUGUCAACUAGUUGUUGGGGAUUCAUUUCCUUUAGUAACGUAGCUAACGCGUGAGUUGACCGCUGGGGAGUACGGUCGCAAGAUAACUCAAAGGAUUGACGGGGACCCGCACAGCGUGAUGAUGUGAUCUCGGAUGCAACGCGCGAAAAAACCUUUACACCCUUAU